UUCGCUUUAGCUACACGGUUAAUGGGAAUGUGUGUUUCUGGAGGUACUUCGCUUUCACUCACUGCUGGAUGCUAAAGGCAGCCGUGAGGAUUGAGCCCACUGAGUGAGGACUACACGCUCAGCUUUGGCAGAAAACAACGCUUCUGUGCACCCUCCCUGCAAGGGCACCGAUUUUGGACUGGCAAGUGGUGCAACCAGAGGC
Molecule: long non-coding RNA, 202 nt
Filed under: Anser brachyrhynchus (Pink-footed goose)
Lineage: Eukaryota; Metazoa; Chordata; Aves; Anseriformes; Anatidae
Description: lncRNA (ENSABRG00000023087.1)
Source: RNAcentral